RNAcentral lists this unclassified non-coding RNA (200 nucleotides) under soil metagenome. Its description in RNAcentral is "partial contains internal transcribed spacer 2 and large subunit ribosomal RNA". The record is from RNAcentral.
UCGAGCGUCAUUACAACCCUCAAGCUCUGCUUGGUAUUAGGCUUCACCUAUUAGGUGGGCCGUAAAAUCAGUGGCGGUGCCAUUCGGCUUCAAGCGUAGUAAUUUUUCUCGCUUUGGAGAACCGGGUGUUGUGCCUGCCAGCAACCCCAAUUUUAUCACAGGUUGACCUCGGAUCAGGUAGGGAUACCCGCUGAACUUAA